AAGUGGCUGAGUGGCUAAAGGCGAUGGACUGUAAAUCCAUUGAUAUUAUUUUCUACGUGGGUUCGAAUCCUUCCUUUCU
RNAcentral lists this transfer RNA (79 nucleotides) under Nephroselmis pyriformis. It matches the Rfam family "tRNA", at positions 5 to 66 of the family's 71-position model. From Rfam's summary of the family: Transfer RNA (tRNA) molecules are approximately 80 nucleotides in length. Their secondary structure includes four short double-helical elements and three loops (D, anti-codon, and T loops). The record is from RNAcentral. Lineage: Eukaryota; Viridiplantae; Chlorophyta; Nephroselmidophyceae; Nephroselmidales; Nephroselmidaceae.